This 80-nucleotide transfer RNA is filed under the name Felis catus (domestic cat). It matches the Rfam family "tRNA". Rfam says of the family: Transfer RNA (tRNA) molecules are approximately 80 nucleotides in length. Their secondary structure includes four short double-helical elements and three loops (D, anti-codon, and T loops). RNAcentral also lists the same sequence under 1 other name. Lineage: Eukaryota; Metazoa; Chordata; Mammalia; Carnivora; Felidae. The record is from Rfam by way of RNAcentral.
GCAUGGGUGGCUUACUUAGUUAAGCGUCUGACUUCAACUCAGGUUAUGAUCUCAGGGUUCAUGAGUUUGAGCCCCAUGUA